This 32887-nucleotide long non-coding RNA is filed under the name Malus domestica (apple). The record is from RNAcentral. Lineage: Eukaryota; Viridiplantae; Streptophyta; Magnoliopsida; Rosales; Rosaceae.
UGAAUAAAGAUGCUGCAUUUUAAACAAGUAUGUGGCUUAUAUAAGAAACGAAAGAUCAAAUCUACCACAAAACGAACCAGAAUAUGCGAAUGCAAGGAGCAAAAUAAAGUCACUACCUUGCAUAUUGGGCGGUGUGGAUCUCGAAGAUUGACAAGUAAGUUGUCACUUUUCAAAUCAAAGUGUACUAUCUUCUUUUCAUGCAGGUACUCCAUUCCGAAUGCCACAUCCAUUGCAAUCAUGAGGCGCUUGCGCCUGUCCAAACUCCUGAUAAAAUUAAAUCUGUGUCAGAUUUUUAUCCCAAUUGAAAAUUACGGACAACAAAAUGCCAAGCAAAUACAUUACUUCUCAUUUUUCUGCAAGGCAUUUCUCAGAGAGCCGUUAACCAUAUAUUCUGUCACUGUUGCCACAGAACCUCCGGGUCCGUCAAGCACAAUCCCAUAGAAAGCUACCACAUUGGGGUGGUGCAAGUCAGCAAGCUUGAUAGCCUCAUUCCAGAAAUCAUCUCUCUGUUUGAAUACAUAAACCACAACAUACGAAUUAAGUAAAAGAGUUAUGAAUGAAUGAAAGCUAAAAGUUUUAGAAACUAGUGUAACAAAAAGACAAACCAUGCGCUCUUGUUCUGAAGGCUUCCCGGAAAAACACCUAUCAUUGAUUCUUUUGAUUGCAACAUCAGUGCCCCUCCAUUUUCCAUGAUAAACGGUACCAAAAGUUCCAGAACCUAAUUCUCUCAUCUCUUCAAGGUCACUGUUCUUUAUAAUCUGCCAAAAGAAAAAGAAAUCGGUCAAUGGUACAUGGUAAUAUCACAACAUCACAAUACAUACAUAUUAAUGGAAACCAAAUUUUCACCUGCAACCGGCCUAGGCCAUCUGCUACUGGAAAACCAAGAUUUGGCUUAUCUGCAAAGUUGGAUUUGACAUCCUAAAAUAGGAAGCGGAAGUUAGAAGAUAAACAACAGGAGAGCCUAGAAUAUUUUUUCAGAGAGGGAGAGAACACGUACAAAUAAAAAAAAAAGGUCGUACCCAGUGCACAAGGCUCCCGCUUUACGCAGGGUCUGGGAGAGGUGAAUGUCGGCUAGCCUUACCCCCAUUUAUGGAGAGGCUGCUCCCAAGUCUCAAACCCGAGACCUACUGCUCAUGGGCGAAGGCACUUGCCAUCGCACCAAGUGCGACCUCUUAGAGACACGUACAAAUAAUAAAAAAAAUUCACACAUGUACAUAUAUGAAUUCUUAAAUACCUCACUUUCUGUUCUGUUUUGCAUCCCUGCAGCAUUGUUUUGAACCUCUUCAUUUCGAUUGGUUGCAUAAGCAGACUCAUUUUUAUCAUGCAAGUAAGAAUCUGAUGGCGUAGAUGACUGAAAAACACAAGCAGCUACUCCCUCAGCAACAGCUUGAAGUUCUUGCUUUAUUUGUUCUUCUGCUGAUCCUACGACAAAGAAGCAAAAUAAUAAGAAAAGUUCAUAUGAAAUAAUUAACUUAUCUAGAAAGAUCAUCACUUAACUAACCUUUGGACGACGGGGCAUGCUCUGAACUAAGAUCCCUGUUCAAAUUGCCUGGUGGCUGUUGGCCUCCAUCGUCCAUUCGCAUUUCUGUAUAUGGUUCUUUUCUCAAUUGUAUUUUGGUUGGCUUAGGAGGCAAUUGAGUAUCCUGGCACAAACUCCAAGGAUCUUGAUUGCUGAACAGUGAGUUUGAGGAGUCCUGGGCACCAAAACCAUUCGAGGUAAUACCUUCCCUCUCGUUAGAUACCAUCUUGGGCUGCAAUCUCAUAUUCUCAUCCUUCCAUUCAGGAGGAGGUUGAAUUCCAUCAGUGAGAUGGGUCAAAACAACAGGGGUUCCAUAAUUAGAUUCGUAAGAAUCACAAGGAUAUAUUCCAACUCUUGAUUGCAGAUAAGCUUCAGGAUUUCCCCAUAUAGAUUGUUUUCCUAAAUCAUAGAAUUCUGCUGGCUGUGAACUAUACCCAUGUGAGACUUCGGCAGAGGGAGAAGCUAGUACUUCGGUCGGGUUAAAGUGAUUCCUGCCUAAUUUGUCAACGAGGUUAUCCACAGCCACCUCUCUACCCCCAACUUGUGCUGUUUUGUGAUCAACGUUGUCUUCCAUUCUAGGUAUAUCCCAAGGUGAUUUACCAUGCUCCUUGUUAACAUAAAUCUCAGUGGGAUUUAUCCUGAGUGUUUCCAUCCUCCCGUCGAUUUGUCUCAAAUUAUCAUAUGCAGUUGGAGAUUCACGAACCAGGCAUUCUGAAGUUUCAACAGGUGCACCUCCAACAAGAGGUACAUCUUGAUUAAAAGGAUCGUUACCUAAAUUUUCCUGUUUAACCUGGUAAUGAAAUGGUGUUGGAUGUAGUUGAACAACAUCGUCUUGACAAUGCUUAGGAAUACUGACCAUGAAUGCACCAUCUGGUGAUUGCACAUCACCUCCUCUCUGGAUAACGCCCUGUGGAGAUGAAAUCUGAGAGAGGCAAGUCACAUCUGAAUGAGAUGUUACGAGAAGAGGAUCUACUGGAAUUUGAACCCUAGGGCGAGCCUCAACUCCUUGGCCAAAAUUACCUUCUCCCUUGUUCAUCGGCUGAGCUCGCAAAUUCUCCUCCAGCCGAGGACUAUAAUAAGUUGGACUUGAAUCAGAUACCGGGCUUCCGCCAAUGUCUCUCUGAACCUGUACCACAGUAUCAGAAUGUGCAUGAGGCAAUGCUAUCUGACACAUAUAACAGUCCUGGAACUUUGUGGACUUCUCGGGAUACACUUCCUGUUGGUGAGAUACCAAUGCAUCAUGGUAAAUCACAUGCUCUGGUGAUUGAACUUGAUGCCAUCCAUAAGCACCUCCUGCUGUUGUUGAGGGUACUUGAACCUGAUAGGAAUUAUAGCUUUGUUCAGCAGGAAGCUGGACGACCUUGGGAACAAAGGUACUCUCGCCUACAUACUUAUCCAACCGGGUCUGUUGUGGAUGGAUCAAUGGCUGAAGCACACUUGGUCUUAUAUUAACAUGAGAAGUCGAGGGAGUCAUUGUCAUGUGCACUGCAGGAAUGAAGUGAUGCGGGGUGAUGCCAGCAAUACUAUCACCGUAUUGCUGUUUGGUGAAUACAGGACCAGCAGUCCCCAAUAGGUGAGGACUUGGGAAACCCAUCUGAGGAGGAAGCUGGAGAUGGUCUGCCCGUGUAACAAAAUCUUGGCGAGGACCAACAUAAGUUUGCAGAUAAGGAGCAGUAGAUGAAAUGCCAAUUCCAGGUUGCUGCUGUGAUACUGUAACAGGCACAGAUCUUUCUAAUUCACCUUCCGGAUGAGAAGAUGGUGUUUGGGGAGGCCCAGACUUAACCACAGGAAUGACCAAUGGAAUUGUAGAAACUUCAGAAUAAAUUGUAGGCUUAGGAUCCACAAAUACCAGCCUUGUACUAGCAUCAUGAGAAGUAGAUGAAUCCCUUUUCGGUGAUAACUUGCCCGGUGAUGGAAGUCCAGUAUUGUCCCCCUGACCAGGAACUGAGUUAUCAACAACAUCAGUUCCACUAAAAUCAGAAUUUUGAGUUGAAGUUGCACUUGCAUUGCUCUCCUUCCUCACGAUACCAACACUCACCCCAUCCAUAAUCCCAUUGACAGCAUCAACAUAUCUCUGCUCACUAUUAUGUAAAUCCCCAAUUUGUACGACACCAGAUGGAUCAACUUCAGAAGCAGAAAACAAAAAUACCCUCAACUUUGCUGAACCAUCUGGAGAUCUCUCGACCAACUUCCCAUAUUCAUCCUUCAUAUUGUCAAGAUCAUCAGCACAUGAAACCGACACCAGUGCAUCGAGAUCCUCAUCGGGGAGCUGGUAUUUAAUGACCACAGGUUGCCCAUAUGUAUCCACCAUCUUCUGCACUAGCUCAUUGAAGCUCACAUCUCUCCGAACACUAAUCCUUGUCUGCCCUCCAACAUACCUCAACAUUCCAUCACUUGGUCUGGGCAAAAUCUUUCCGCCAAAGCUGCACAGAAGCUUUAUUUUCUUCCCAUACACAGAAUCUUCCCCACCGUCAUCACUUGCUUGUUCAGUCCCACUCCCACGACUGCCCAAAUUGGCAUUGUAACCAUAUCCCGAUGUCAAAUCAUUCCCAGUCUGAUCAGCAACAUUGCCACUGACCUUAUUGCCUAAAUUGGGAUUAUAACCGAACCCAGCUGCCAUAUCAUUAACUCCAUGAUCUAGACCACUGCCAGCACUCCUAUUAAACAUAUUCGAACUACAGUCAGAAGGCCUAGAAGCAGUUGUUGUAGUAUCAGAGCUUACAAGAUCAACAUCAUUUCCGCCGACCCGACUGCCCAAAUUAGGACUGUAACCAAUUCCAACACCAACGCCAGGGUUCACACCUGGAUGUCCCACCGGCACAGCAAUGCGGGGGCCAGGGCACCACGGGGGCACCCCCGACACGGCAUUUCCAUACCCUAGGCCAACAUGCCCAGCCUCCGAGGCAACCGGUGCUUGGUAAAAAACAGGUAUUGAAUGAGGGCUAUUAACUUCACGAACUGGGUGGCUGGGGAAAAAUCCAUCGGGGUUUCGAGCAGCUGUAGUAGCCUGCGCAAUGCGGGGUUCUUCGGCCACAGUUCGAGCUACAUUUAACUGUCUCAGUUCUUUGGGAAACGAAUUUUGAUCAAACGCCAUAUCUACAAUUAAUUAAAAAAAAAUUCAAAAUUCAAUCAAGGGUCUGCAAAAUCAAUCCUAAAUAAGAAAACCCACGAUCAAAAUUCGAUAAAGCUAAAAUCUUUUCAUCUAGAUUGCGAUAAGCUAAGGUCUUUUCAUCUGGGAUUUUCAUUUUGUUAAUUCUAAUUUAAGUACUGAAGCUUUUCUAAUCAUCUGCUAUAAACCCUAGCCAGAUUGCACCAAACUAUAACAAAAUUUUACAGCUUUAUAUCCAAAACAGGGGACAAUAAACACAAAUAAUUGAACAAAAACACACACACAGAGAGAGAGAUUAAGUACCAGAUUGAAACGUUGGCGUUUGGAGGAGAGAGAGAGUGUGUGGAAGAGAUAAGAUGGAGGAGAAGAAAAAACACAGAGAGAGAGAGAGUCCGAGUCGGUGGAGUGCAGUUUCCAAACUCCGAAGGAAUCAAAGCUCACAGUGACAAGCGUCCCCUUAGCAGCUCCUUGGCACUUUCUCGCUCUAAAAAUCUGGUCCUUUUAUUGUUCCAUCCAUCGUUGAAUAUUUUCCGUGGUGGGAUUUUAUUUUCUCGGGAAAAUGAUGUGUUUGUGAGGAAAAUGGCAGAGUGGCUGAAGAGAAAAAUUAUGGUUUUUGGUUUGAAGUCUUGGAGAAGAGAGAAGAGAGAAGGUGACGGGGGAAGCCACGUGGAAUGUUUCAUGCAAGAUUAUGAUUUAUCAGUAAAAAAGUGUAGUAUUAUGUGUUGUUGUUGGGAACCUAGGAGUACUUUAUUUUUGAUAGUGACAUAUGCAAAUAAUAUAUAAACAUAUAUAUAUAUAUAUAUAUUUUUUUUUUGAAUUUAAUGGCCUUAUCGAUGAUUCUUUAAUAUGUCGAAAAUAUAAUCUGGUAUAUUAAGUAUUAUGAUACAAAUAAUUAAAUAUUUAAAAAUAUUUUAACUAUUAAUAUAAUGAGACUUGAUAUACCAAAUUAUAUAUUUAGUGGGCUUAAAAAUUUAUCGACAUUGUGGCAAGGUAGGAGAAGACAAAUACAAAACGAAAAUCUUGGACGGUCCUUCAAAUACUACAUUAAAUUAUACUAUGCAUACAACAUAUUAUUUAAUUAAUAAUUUAUGAUAGAAUUGUUGGUAGUAAUUUCGUAUCUACUUAUGGUUACUUAUUUUAACUGCAAUCAUGCCAUUUUAAUCACAACUUAAUUGAAGCCUUAACUUCUUAUUUUUGUUCGUGAUCAAUCUUUAAUUACUUUGAUCGCAUGAUCAUGGUCAAUAUAAAUCAUGAUUGUUUUACUAAUUAGGGUUUCAAUCGUUCAAUUUUAUUUAAUUUUUUGUUAAUACAAAAAGUAAUGAAUAUUAAACACAUGCCAUUAGAAAAUUAAAAAAAGAUAAACAUAAGUUAUGAGUUUAUGUUAUAGCAUUACCACUGUUUUAAAAAUUCUGCCUAGUGCUAUCAAGGUCAUGUCUAGGCUCUGAACGACAAGCGACCACUUUGAUGAUUCAUAGACGAUUGAAAAUUAUGAAAAAACGCCUAGACUUGUUUAAGUAACUAUUCAUACUUAAGAGUAAAUUAUUAAAAGAAAAAAUGUAUGUCUACAUUCGACGAUAGAACUUACUGUAAUUCUUAUGAACUAAAGUAUUUACAGUAAGAAAUAAUUAAGUUAAUGCAUGCCAUAGAUUGUUGUAUACUAUAACUUACCGUAACUUUUUAUUUAUCCCGAAAUUGCUAACUUCUUUCCUGGUCUGAAUAGGGUAACUUCACAAUAAUUGGAUAAUUCUUGGUCCACUAUAUUUUUCUGGAUUCAUAUCGACCGUUUGAAGGACAUUUUCGACUUUCAUCGAAUCGGUGGGUGAUGACACAUCAUCAAAACUGGAAUUGCGAUCCUCUGAAUUUCUGUGUUCGAGAUUAUAUAUUCUGAGAAAUAAAACUAUAAGAAAUUUUAUUUGAACUUAUAUAAUCUCUUUCAAACUUUAAAUAUGAAUUGUCUUUCUUACUCUAUUGCAUAAUUACCGUCAGGUACAAGAUUAAAUGAACAAUAAAACCAAAAUUUAUCAAUAGACCCAUAUAUACCCAAUCAUCAAUCUACUUCUUGGUACCAUCUGGGAAUGUGUCGCGCCUUCAUCGCACUAGCUCGAUGUUACUUAUGAGCUUUUAUAUGCUUAUGUUAUUGUUUAUGGAUUCGAAGCAACCAAGGAUUCUUCAAACUUCAGAACACAUGAAUGAAAUGCUGAUUCAACGGACCAUGUGAAACUUUUGGAUUUUGUACUAAAUAUUGGAGGGAUUGGCUGAUCCAAUUUUGAUCAUUUGCAAAAAAACGCAUACUGAUUGAACAAAAAAUAAAAUAAAAACAUAUGGGAUUUAAAUAUUUAAUUUUUUUUAAUCAUCUAUAUGGGAUUAAGCAAAAUCAACAGAUGAGAUUAAUUAAAACAGAUAUGGGAUUGAGCAAAAUCAGCAAAUAGAAGGAUUACGCAUGAGACAAAUAUGUGGGAGAUAUUGUUGUCUUUAUGCCUUGAAUGAGUUUCAAAACACGAUUUUGGUUUUUUAUUUUUUAUAUGGGUGUAAAGAUAAAUUUAUGUAUCAAAUUGUGUUUGUGAGGGUAAUUUAGAUAGUAAGUUUGGGUUUAAAGAUAUAUUAAUAAUUUAGUUAAAAAUAAUAUGGGUGGAGGGAGUAAGUUGAAUGUAAAAAAAUGUUGUAUGGAUUCAAAUAAAAUUUCUAAAACUAUUCAUUUUAAACUCUUAUUAUCACACUAACUCACUGCACACAAAUAAAGCAUCUGAAUCUCUCAUACUAACAAUCCAAAUCCCUUAAUUCUUGGCUUUCUAACACCAGAGAUUCCGAUAGAUUUUCAAUUCUCAAAACUGGGAGGAUAUGAGAUAUAUUUUCCUUGUUUUUUAUAAUUUUUUAAAGGUAUAAAAAGUUCAACAUCAAAGAGGAAUAAAUCUUAAUUUAUAAGAAAAGGUGUGACAUCCGACAUCGCCCAGGGGAGUUGAUCAUGUACCUUAUAUGUAUAUUCCCAUCUCUACCUAGCACGAGGCCUUUUGGGAGCUCACUGGCUUCGGGUUCCAUCAGAACUCCGAAGUUAAGCAAGUUCGCACGAGAACAAUUCUACGAUGGGUGACCCACUGGGAAGUUGUCAUCUGAGAUCCUAGAAACAAAAACCGUGAGGGCGUAGUUGGAGCCAAAAGCGGAUAAUAUCGUGCUACGAUGUGGAACGGGUCUGGGAUGUGGUGGACCUCGGGCCGGGAUGUGACAAAAGGAAAGAGAAAAUAAUAUGGAAACUAACAUCAGCUAGUCUUUUACUUGUUUGGAUGAGGUUGGCCCAAAUUCUUUGCUUGAUAUUAAAACAAAAAGUAAAUUAAACUUCCAUACGCGGUUUCAUUAUUCUUUUUAAGAUUGACUAAAAUUCAAGAAAGAAACAUAUAUUUUGGGUAAAGAAUGAAUGUUAAAAAAGUUAAGCAUUUUGAGUUACGACUUUGUGUCUCACAAAUCACAAACAUGUUCACCAUUGAGUGUUAUGUGGUUUGAUUGGAAGGAAGGCAAUUUCUAUGAAAUUGAAGAAACUUGCACCAAACAGGUUUCGAGAAUUAAUCCUAAUUUUAACACGCAGAGAACUAACCUUAUUUCAAUAGAUAAGGAAUCCAAGUUCUUCUGCUAAACUUUAAGGCAUAAAAUACUAAAUAUAACCUUACAUAUUAAAAAAAAAACCAAAUUAACUUUUCCAAAAACAUGAGCACGAUGUAGCAAUAUUCCAAACCUAUCAAGCGGCAGUAUGUGUUGGUAACUUUUCGCGUAAAGUAGCUUUAUUAUUCUGGACCUUGACAUUUUUCAUCUAAGUAUUUACCACCGAAAGGCUCAGCACCAAAUUAACGAUAUUAGUCAAACAAAUUCGUGUCGGUAUUAUAAAAGUACACUAACUAACCAAUCGAUAUUACAUCAUGCUUAUGUGAUUCUGGUAUCUAUGGCGCACUGAAAGUCAGGUAAAAGAAAGAGAUCUGUAUAGUACUUGGCUCGAUCGUCUUUAGCAAGUAGAUAAUCCUACCCCUGUUAAGUUGUCGUUCCUCCAAUAAGCAACAAGGACGUGAAACCCUACAUUUUUUACUAUAUGUAUCCUUCCAUGUUUGAAACACCCUAAUCAUUUUGCUAUAGAUAAUAGAGGUGUGACAACGAUAAGCAUCCCAGUACGUAGUGAAGAAAAUGAGUUUCAGAAUCUGUCGUGUUUGCAUGGGCUAAUUGGUCCUGGUCGGCCAUGCUUUGUCGGUUUUAUGCAGAUUGAUUCUUGUCAUUCAUGUUUAUAAAGACGGAUAAUUGAACACGACUAACUCUAACAAUUCUCGAGAAAAUAAUUGAUUAAUUGUGGGAUUGUGUGAGAUGGAAAGUAGACCUCAACUUGCAUUGUUUUAUUUAUAACAUGUGCCCGCGCGCGCGCAAUAUGCCCUAUUGGCUGCAGCGUAGAGAUAAAUUUAUAGUCCCAAACAGUUAGGACAGUAGUAGGCCAAUAGAGGAUAAAGAAGUGGUGAAUAAACAACUGGCACCACAUGGAUGGAGACAGUAUAGUUCCCUUGUGGGAGAAAUCAGAACAUAAUUAGCAAACUAAUCGGUAGUGUAAACAGUAAUUCAGCUAGCAUAGAUUUCUCCUGAUCUGUACAUUUGACCAAUCCUAGGCUCCUAGCUAUCUAGUAAAUCUCAUGUUGAUGAAUCCGAUGAUGUUCAAUAUUACAACAAACGUAGAAGAAGGAUCAACAAAGUGCAAGUGCAUUUAAUUAACUAAUUGCUAUUUAUAUGUUUAAUGAGAAAUGUUAAGGAGACUCUCAAAAGUAAAACUAUUUGUUAACUCUAUGUCAUCUCAUGUUUUUGAUACAAUGUUUUAUAAUAUUGACACGGAAAUUGACGUUAAUUAAAUUGUCAACUGUGAGAUGACAGAGAUUUCAUCAAGAAUUAAUCUCACUUUGAGAGAAAAUCUCCUGAGCAUUUUUCAUGUUUAAUUACUAGGUUAGGAAUAUUUAGGAAGGUCAUGAUCUAAUGAACAGUUGAAUAUCAGAGUGCGGAACAAACAAGAAGAACAAAAUAAUAAGAAUUUUAUUAAACUAACUGAAUGCCGAAACGGCUACAAAAACCCUAACAAGCUACAUUGUGAAUAACUUAUUUCGAAUGAAUAACAAAUCACUCUAUUUAUAAUAAACUAACCAUAAACCCUAAUGCUAACGGGCUAAGCCCAGAAAACAAAAUAUUAAAGUAAACCUAAAUACUAAUAUUCUACAACACCCCCCGUCAAACUCAUGGCGGUAUACGACAUGGGUUUGCAAACAAGCAGAUGCGGACUGGCUCUGUUAGGCGGACAGACAGACAGGCAGGCUCUGCCGCAACGCGGACAGACAGACAGGCAGGCUCCGCAACGCGGACAGACAGACAGGCAGGCUCCGCAGCAACGCGGACAAACAGACAGGCAGGCUCCGCAACGCGGACAGACAGACAGGCAGGCUCCGCAACACGGACAGACAGACAGGCAGGCUCCGCAACACGGACAGACAGACAGGCAGGUAUGCAAACUUGACUUGACUUGACUUGCGAACUGGUGAACUUGCGAACUUGACUUGACUUGAUUCUUGACUUGACUUGACUGGCAAACUGGCUAGAGUUGAGAGUAUGGAAAGAACCCGUCACUAAACGGACGAGGUUUCCAUAUCUCAAUUAUACCAACAAACAACGAAAACAAUUCCAAACAAGGCAACCAACAAUUCUUGCGGGCCUAAAACAAACUUAAACCAUAUUUUUGACUUUUGCCCGUGUGGGCCUAAAAAAAAAACUCCAAACAAUUUUUUUCUCUUCUCUUUUUUUUUUUUUUUUUUUCCUCUCCUUUUUUUCUCUCUUCUUCUUUUUUCUUUCCUUUUUCUCUUUUCUGCUGGGCUUCUUCAGAACUGCAGCAACAUGUUUCUUGGUCUUGUGCGGCGGUGAGUUCAUAAGGCAGUGCAACAAGGAUGUGAUGAGCAGCGGCAACCUGGGUGGAUGGUGAUUGGGUGCGCGGGACGACGGCAAGGGAUCUGGGUGCAGGUGCAAGCAGGUUGUUCCGGUGGCAGCGUGGUGGUGAUCUGAUGAAGAAACGAUGGCUGGCAGGUACGGUUCAGGCAGAUGCGAGUGCAGGCUGGUGGUCUGGUGCGAGAUGGUGGUGCGGUGGUUUAAGCAGGCGAGGUGCAGGGUUCAUGUCACAGGGAACUGGACGCAGUGGAAGGUUCAGGUUUUUUGUUUUCUUAUGCAAACUAAACCAACAACAAAAAACUAGCAUACAAACUGACAAAUAACAUACCAACCCGACCAAGCAGAUUAAAUCCCAAAGGAUUGAACCUGCUCUGAUACCAAGUUGAAUAUCAGAGUGCGGAACAAACAAGAAGAACAAAAUAAUAAGAAUUUUAUUAAACUAACUGAAUGCCGAAACGGCUACAAAAACCCUAACAAGCUACAUUGUGAAUAACUUAUUUCGAAUGAAUAACAAAGCACUCUAUUUAUAAUAAAUUAACCAUAAACCCUAAUGCUAACGGGCUAAGCCCAGAAAACCAAAUAUUAAAGUAAACCUAAAUACUAAUAUUUUCCAACAUGAACUGCCACAUAUUUGGCCGGGACAAAAUCGAAGUAGCUAGCUCUUUCGUUGUUUGACAUCAUCUACCUCAGGGUGCUUGCUUCUUGUUUUGCAGCAGCAGGAAUUGCUUAAUUAUUCGCUGUCAAAGUAUCACGAGUUCUUGCAGAUGUGAGAGAGUAGCAACAUUAACAAGAACGGAUGUGCUCUCCUAUGUUGUUAUGCACUUAAGUUAAAUAUAUUUUUCCUCACAAUUAAUAAAAUAUCAGUCGUAUAAAACCAUUGCUUUAUUUCUUUACAAGGUUUUUAACCAUCCUGGAAAGGCCACCUUUUUUUUUUUUUUAUAAUUAUUAUUUAUUUUAAAUACAAGACAAUUUAGAGUAUGGGCAUUAGCCAUUUAACAUUUUUAGACCCGCCAUAUGCCAUUUAAUAAUUUAGAGUAUGGGAAUUAGCCAUUUAAACUACUCAUGUGCCCCCUCUCCUUCAUUGGAUUGUAGUAUGGGCAUCGUCAUCUUCAUUCACUACUUACGCCCCCUCGUAGUAUGGUCGUCUUCUUCAUUUACUAUUUGCCGUAUCAAAUCUGGGCCUGGGUCGACUACGUACGCGUGCAUGCAUGCAUGCAUUAAUGCGUGAAAAUUGAGCAAUAGAGAAGCUACGCGCGAAUUGCAAUUGUAAUGAACUACACAUGCUGGGAACUUCUGCAAAUCGAAUUGAUGGGGUGAAAUUAAUCAUGCAAACUCAUUCAGAUUCUAUUAAAUUUCUUUAUUAUUUGAAAUUUUCUGAUGAUCCAGUGAUAUAUAAUUAAGUUAUUCCCAAUAUAUAUAUACUUUACAGCAAGCAUUCAUUCCCAAAUUUCCCAGCCAAAAUAUACUUCAGAUUUAACCUAAUUCAGAACUAAUCGUUCGCAAAAGAAAAAAGUUUGCAGAAAAAUAAAUUGAAGGUAAAAAAAACAUAGCAACAUUAGUAACCGUGCCAAUAUAUACACCCCCAUGAAAAUUAAUUAACAAACCAUAUUUACGUUUAUGUGUAUUAUGAAACCCAAUGAUUAAUUAAUUAUUAAGAACGGAUUAAUUGCUGAGGUCUUGCCUUUGGAUCAUACGCUAGCUGUAGGCAGUUAUCUCCUUGGACGCAGGGGGAGAAGCCACAGAGUCCUGCGAUGUUCGAGGCGGCGAAUGCGGUAAUCGGGAGGAGAAUCCCAAGAGCGGGUCAUCCUCGAGGUUGGACUCCUCGUGAUCAAAGUUGAGGGCGUAGCUGAGUGCGUCAUAUUUGAAAUCGGCUGAAUGAUGCCUCCGGCCCGCGCGGCCAUGGCCAUUGCCACGUCCAUGCAUGCGCCCAAUCCAAUUUCUGCACUUGUCUUUCAAUUCUGCAAACUCGUAAUGAUUGUUGUGGUGGUGGUGGUUGUAAUGGUGUUGGGGGUGGUGAUGAUGCCUAGACCGCGAGGACCGGGGAUUAGGGGAGAAUGAGGAGGUUUGCACGAGGCUGACAUUAUCAGCCUCAUGCGGAGUGGGAGGCGCCGUGAGGGCGCCGUGGUGGUGAGCUUUAGGAGUAGGGAAGCAUGGGAUGAUGCAGAGGGAGGAGCGGAGCUUUUGUUUGAGGGAGUUUGGGGAGCAGGGUUCGUGGUGGUUCUCCAUUAUUUUGAUUUGUGUGGAGAGGUUAGGGGUGGUGGUGGUGGUAUUUGUGUUUUUAUUUGGGAGGAGGAGGAGGCCCCGUGGAGAAGGUGCAAUGACGGAUGAGGACACGUAGAUUUCCGGAAUUCAUGGGAUGCUUUUGGGGUUUCUGGUCAUUUGACGUUGUUCAGAGAUUAUCGCUUUUUAGGGUCUUUUUUAUUUUAUAUUUUUUUCCUUUCGAUAAAUCUGAAAACCAUGUUGGGCCAGAAUUUGAAGGUUAAUAUUGUCGUCCAUUUGCAUGACUUAUGGGCUGGGCUCGAAUACAAAAUUGGAAUGUGAGCUUGAACAUAGCAUAGAUUUUAUGGUGUGAUUAGUUUUUCUUGUUGCCCAAUUAAGAAAACUACGUGCUUAUGAGAUGAGAUUUGGUGCCGAUGUGGUUAAGCGAGUUGAUUUUUUUUUUUUUGGUCAAACGAUAAGUUUUGUUAGAUUAGUCAUUGAUGGGGUUCGAACACACGCUAUCAUGUAAGGGCUCAACACAUUUUCAUCAUUGUGGUAAAGAGCCACUUGUGUUAAGCGAGUUGAUUAGGACUGUGUUUUUUUUUGUACAUGAGUUCGAAUUUUCAUUAUUAUAAGUUAAGAUUAGUUUAGAAUAUCACAUUGUUGGACAAAAACAAAGGAAGAUUUGAGUAAUCCAUUUGAAUUUUUGUUUAUUAAUUUUCUUUAAUUUAUUCGAUCUAAGAGCUGAAGAUUAAGAAAAGUAUAUGAAAGAUAAAAAUAAGUGUCUUUUAAUAUUAGUUUGUAUGAUCCUUAGAACCCAUGGUGUGUUCUUCCUCACAUGAUAAGAUCUUUGUCCAUAUCCUUUGUGUAGUAAAAUAUUGUAGAAGUGGGGUUGGGGUUGAUACGUUUGUAUUGUUUAUUGAGAGAAAAUAUACUCACUCCUGACAUUUGUGAUUCUCUACACCUUGUCUUGUUUUUAACUUUGAAAAAGAUUCACUUCUAUUCAAUUUUGAUAUUAUUUAUUGAUAAAUUUGAUCAUUUAUGAUAUAAUUUCUUUAAAUAGUCGAUUUUAUAUGUGGGGUAAGACGCCAUUUGUGUGUACAAUCAAAUUGACUUUCAGGUUAUAAGGACAAAGACGUCUCAUUAUCACAAUGAAUGAGACCACGUGGAUUGGAGAUUGGACUUACGUGCGACCCGAUAAUACCCUCAUAUAAUGCAGCCCGUUCAUUUGUGAGAGUGUCUGACCAUCUAGCUGGUCAGACUGCUCUACUCACAAUUCUGAAAUAAAAUUUAAUAGUUAAAACACCUGUUUCAUUGAAGCCAAACUUUUCCCCCUCUUAAUUCUACUUGAUUCAUUGAAAUAGUGCAAAAAAGAAUGUGCAAAUUCACUACCCUUUUUACCUAAACACAAAAACAGAAGAAAUGAAGUACUCAACAAAACCAUUCACUGCAGCCGAGAAAAGACAUUUUAUUUACUAGAAAGCCCAAUGAAACAUUACAAGAAGAGAUUUGGUUGAUCACGUGGCUCACCCUUGUCCCUUAAUAAGUGCCAGGUUUUCAGUUCAUAGCAACACGCAGCACCACUGUCUCAUUCGACACACACCUCGUGGACUUGUUGGAAGCUUUCGGUUAAGUUGCACUGAAACUCCCUCAACCUUUCCAUCCCAUGUCUCUCACCUUUUCUUUGUUUUGUUUUGUCUCCUCAUCUUUUACUUUUCUUUUGCUCAUUUUCGUUGAAGAAUAUAGCCCCACAUCGAAAACCUGACUGCAGUAAACACUAUUUAUUUUUGUUUUACCAGUAGUAGUAGUAGGCCGUUGAACCGUCUCUGAAACUUUAACGGUUUUCACUGGUACAUAAUUGAGAGGAGAGAGAUGAAGAUGAUUGAUGCAGAUCGUAUAUACAACCAUCAAUGGUAUGGACCCCUCUUUUGUCUGCCACCAUAUUUUGUUUCCAUCUUAUUGUUUAACUUCCCUCUUCUUCUUCUUCUUCAUUUCUUUGGAAAAUAUUUCAGGACCAAGCAGCUUUUCAUGGUGGAAAAACUGUAUCAUUUAUAAGAGAAAUAUAUACAUAUAUAUAUAUAUAUAGAGAGAGAGAGAGAGAGAGAGAGAGAGAGAGAGAGAGCUACACUUGUUUUCUUUGUCGGUUUUGAGUUGUUAUUUGGAGGUUGAAAUUAAUGGCUGGAAUGCUUCCUGGUGUGGAAUGCGCUCGGAGGAGACGAGUCCAUCAGAGCGGAGAGUCACCGUGCGUCGGCGGCAUCCAUGGCAGCACCAGGCGCUCUUCUUUCUGUUUGUAUGCUAGCAACCAUGAAUCUCACCACACCUCCACCUCUUCACUGGUAAUUCUAUCGCUCUCUGUGUUUUUCGCUCUCUCAUUUUCUUGGAAGCAUCCGAUUUUUCUUACCCUCGAAAAUGAAUGAAUCAAACAAGAAUCAAUCGAGGAAAAGAAGAAGAGAGCGCAGAAGGAGAAACGAGAAACUGGAGUGUGAAAAUCGCUGUCCUACCGAUUUAAAUUACAAGCAAAUAUAAUUUUCUCCUGUUGUAUAUGGAUUAUUUUUCAUGAUCAUUGUUUCAAUUUGCAUGUUUGAAUCAUUAAUAACAGUAUUAAUUUAUUGGACACAAUAGCAAAGAAGCAUACUGAACCAAGCAUACAUGGAUGAGAAGCUGGGAGUGGAAGCCAGAGAAGCCAAGGGGAGAUUAGAUGAAAGACUGAGAACACAAAGAAAACCACAACCCAAAAGGUAAUUAAUUUACCAAUAUGUGGUCCGGCUAUGAAACAAAUUGUUGCUGACACAUCAAUAAUGCCUCGAUAUCCAUGUUAUUGAUGCGUUCUUGACAAUAUCAAUGAAACAGUUGUUCCUUCAUGCACAUAAAAUUUCUUAACAAUAAUGGUUCUUGCACUAACAUACGCGACGGGAAUAAAUUUCCUCUCAUUCUUUUCUCCUUCUGCAAUACCUGUUUAUUUUUGUCUCUCGAUUUUCGAUAUGUUUUAACUAUGUGUUUUAUUAUAUUUGUGAUAAAUUUAGGCAUACUAAUGGUGGUAACAAGGGACUGAAAUGUGUGGAUGGAGGAGGAAGAUCAUCUGUCUUGCUUGGGGAGUUGCAGAAAGAAGUUUACGGAGCAAACAAGAGUAGUAGUAGUACAAGUGGGUCAAAGAAGUUCAGCUGGUCAAAGCUGACCUGGAAGUCAUCGGACCAGGAUGAGUGUGCAGUCUGCCUGGAGAGGCUCAGGCCAGGUGAGACCCUGGUGCACCUGCCCUGUGCCCAUAGGUUCCACUCUGGUUGCAUGGUUCCAUGGCUUCACAACAAUGCCCAUUGCCCCUGUUGCAGAAUGGAGAUUAUCUCCUAGUAAUUGUAUUGGUAAUUUGGUAAAUGCAAAUUGUAAAAUAUAGAUUGAGCUUGCAGUUGCAGUUGUAGAGUUGGUUUGAAGUUUGAACAAUUAACUUUGUGGUGCUAAUUGUUUGGUUACAAUAUGUUUUUGUUAAAGUGAAUAGUUGCCAAGUAGUCUUUGUGUGAGUAGAUAGUUUAUGCAAAUUUGUGGGAGAUUAUAAUUCCACACAUUAAUCUUGAUGUAGGACAAGAUAUGGGUCAAUUCCGACGAAAAAAUAUCAAGAAAAUAAAAUGUUUUAGAGUUUGGAAAGAAGAAUUAAAGUUGGGCUAUAUCAGAUUUAAUUAACAUCGCGACAGAAAAAGUAACAAGAAAUAUUAUCGUGCUAGAAUUGAGAGUAAUAUGUCCUUUUUGAAGAGAAUGCAAGAAGAACAAGACUCAUGGUUAUAAUAUGAGCCCGUCAUGUUUACGGCCAUUCGAGGUUGUUUAAACUCCCAAAACAACAUUUUUAAAGUCUAAUAAAACAACCUUUCAUGUCGUUUAAUUUACUAAGACCCUGAGCUUCCCGAGGGGUUGUGUUUGUGUCUUUUUAAGUCGUUUGGCUCCUAAUGUAAUGUAUCAAUUCAAAAAAUAAUCAAACAACCUUUCGAUUUUAUCCAUCUAUGAUGGAUUCCAAAAACCUUGGUUCUUCAAGAUUUACGUUUGUAAUCCUUAUAUGCUCGUGUUGCGUCAAAUCUCUUCCACAUCUUUCGGGAAAAUGCUUGACUAGUUAUAUGUAGCGUUUCUCAUAACAAACAAAUCUCAAUCUGACUUUUAUAAACGAACUUUUUCAGUUUUUAUUUUUGCAAGUCACUUUAGUAUAUGUGAUAGUCUACAUAAGGAAUAACUCUUUAAUUAUUGUAAAGAGUUAAACAUUAUUCCAAAAUUCUCAAUGAUUUCCAAAUUAUUGAACCAACAUGUGAUCUCCAAUACAAAAUUUUAAGAGGUGCAAUCCCUUUUGUGAAUGAAUGUAAUUGCACUACAUAUCACUAUCCAUCCAUCCAACCUCCCCACCUUGAAAUUGAAUAUCAGAUGAGAGAAAAGGCUCCACUCAUGUGACGGGUGGGACAAGAACAGGUGAAUUAUAGGACAGUCUUUGCUGUCUUGGUCGACCUUUCUCUUGUUUAGUGGAAAUCAUUUGUUCUUGCACUAAUCAAAUGUUAAUACCAAUCUUCGCUUCCAAUUAAGGGAGAUCAUGGUGAGAUCAUAACAACUUAAGUCGCGAAAAAGAUGGGCAGUAGUGGAUCCAUGAGUUUUUCGUUAAUAAGUGAGGUCAUAAAAGUUUGGUGCGGUGUUCUUACUUAAGUAUUUUUUUGGUGGGUUUUUUUGGUGCGGUGUCGCUUGAGCCUUCAGAGACUGAGGAACGAGGAUGGAAAUUGAGUGACGUGAGUGAAUUUGGGUGAAAUAGAGGAUAAGGGAAGCGUACUGAAUGGGACACAAACGCAAACCUAAGAAUAGAAAAGCUAGAAUUCACUAGAGAUUGGGAUAAACCCGAAAGAUUUUUUGUUCAUUUAUGAAUCAAUACAUUACACUGGGAGCCAAAUGGCUUAAAUAGACUUAAUUUGACUUUGGGAAGUUCGUAUCAAACCUUGUGAAGUUCAUAGAAAGUCUAAUGAAAUACAAAAAUAUUGAUUAGAUUGAAAAAUGAAAAGUCUGAUUUUAUUACCAACUUUAAAAUGCUGUUUUGGAAGCUGAAACGACAUCAGAUGGUUAAAAUCUGUUAAGGAAUUUUCAAACCUUGUGAAGUUCAUAUCUUGUCCUACAUCAAGGUUUUGGAUAAAAAUAAGAUUUGCAGCCUUGCUUCAUCCUGUUUUGUUUAGCUGUUGAGUUGGCAAAAUCCGAGUCAUUUUCAUUAAACAAGUUUGCCAUAAAAAUGGAGUAACAAGUUAAGACUAAACCAGAUAAAAGAUUCGGUUCUCUCAAACAAGACCGAAAAAAUAUCAAUAAAAUAUAUUCUAUGCUUUGAAGGUGGAAUGUCAUUUUCUCCUAUAAAAAUGAAGCAUGCUAACUUGGAUUUUAUCCUAAUUUGGGUAAAAUCUUCUUCUUUUCCUACCCUAAUCCUUGUUUUUGUGUCACGACUGGCUAGCUGGAGGUCACUAAAGAAUGGACCCAAUUUAGCUAAUUUAUCUUUGUCUUGAUUAUAUAGAUGGAUAAAUGAUUAGGCAAGGAUUGAUAAACUUUGAUUAAUUAUUCGUUGAUUGAUUGGAGUGACGCAAGAGUCCAAAACUUUUCAAAGUUUUCAAUGUGAUGUGUGACUAAGACAUAACUCGGAAAGGAUGAGCGGCACGAAUAAGGUUUCUUUAUGUCCAAUCAAGACAAUGUCGCGAUCGAAAUUGAGCCGAAAUUACAAGCAGUAUAAAUUUUGAAAAUUAUACAAGUUUUACAGUGUAGGGUUACUAUGUGAAGAAAAAAAAACCACGCUUUUAUAAAACUUUAUUUUUCAGCCCACUCCAGUUUACUGUUUUGUAUUCCUUCAAGUUUUAGUACAUAUUUCCUGGUGCGACAAGAGUUUGUGGCGGUUUUGACGAUCUUGACACAAUGUGGGAAUUCAUAUUUUUUUAUUUUAUAUAUAUCCAUCUUGUGUGGGAUGAGAAUUUAGUCUUACUUCUUGACCAUUUAUCUAUGCUCUGACACUCUCGUAUGUAUAAAUAGGUUCAUAAAAGAAAAUCAAUAAAAAAUAAAAAUAAAAAUAAAAACUUUUGCCAAGGGGAAGGCAGCGAACGACGCCGUUCGGUGGACCAAUUAUUUUCAUUAUUUUGGCACCUUUGCGAAUUUUACCAUUUUAGACUCUUCCCGCAACGGCUAGUUUCCUAGUGACCGUUUUCCCGUCUCCCAAAUUUCAAAUCUGCAAUCGACCUUCAACCCACCAUUAAUCUUCUUCACAUACCGCAACUCCCAGAAAUCUCCUUUCACUUUUCGAAAAACACCCGCAAAACCAAAUCCAAAUCCAAGGCUCUGGCAACUUGUCGAAUUCGAUCUCCGUUAAACCCACUUGGCAAUUCAAAUCAAGGACCCAGAAUUUCAAAAAUGGUAUAUUCAUACGCGCCCGCGUACUACUCCACAAUCCACGACUCCAUGACCUCCCUGUGCAAGUCCAUUCUUCCCUUCAGCUUCAAGAAGCGGCGGUUGCCUGCGGCGGAGCAGAGGCUUUCGAAGCUGCAGUCGGAUAACCUCAAGUGGCAGCAGGACUCUUUCCACCAGAUUCUGAACUUGAUGGGUCUUCACAAAGAAGGCAUCUUGGCUGAGACCGAGGUGUCCGCUUUCCGAUUGCAUUUGCUCGAAACCCUCAUUGCCUCUCAGGUGGCGGAGCACGAACAGCCGGUUAUUCUGAGAGACAAGUUGCUGUUCUUGCAGGUAAAAUGCCAGUCUGCAAUCUCAACUCUUUCCUUUUUUUUUUCAUUUCGAUUGGAUUUUCUUUCUUGGUUUUCUGAGUAACCAAGCAAUGUUUAGGAGCUCUUGUAUGCGAAAUGCAUAUCGGAAGACGAGUACCAUUCUUCGAAAAGGCCGUUGCUGCAGCGAUUAGAGGCACAGGGAGCUGAGAUCGAGGCCAAAGAUAUAAUCGCUUCAGGGUCGCUGCCAGCGAAGGAUCCGAAAGAGAAUACAGAUCAAGAGCAGUGGUCGGAAAUUGACUUGAAGGAUGAGAAAUGCUUGCUAACGAAAGAUAAAGAGGGUUUGAAUUCGAAGAACAAAUCGAAACACAGCUCGGCAGUGAAACAAAUCAAAGGGGCAGCUUCGGUGUUGGGAUUUGUAUCACCUUACAAACAUGGGAAAAACAGGGGAGAAAAGAGCAUAUUCGAUUUGCCUGAUUCGUCAAAAUUCUCUUCUUCCAGCUCUUCUAAGCAUCAAGCAGGAGAUCAAUCGUCGAUUCUUAUGCCGGAAAGCUUGCCACAGGUGCCGGUGAAAGAGAACGGCAGCGCAGAUCGAACAAGGAGGAAACCGUUUAGGAGUCUGUUUCAGAGAGAACAGAAAGAGGGUCAGGGGGAUCAUGCCCACGAAAAUGAACAAACACCUUCGAAAUCGGCCAAAAAGCAAUGGGGUUUUGAUGGAUUCAAGAAAUGGAAGAGGAAUGAGUCGGAGGACGAGACAACUCCGCUGCCGCUAAACGAACGAUCGGAUAGUGAGGCUCACUUGAAGCUUGUUCCAAUCCCCAUGGGUGAAGGGCCAGACACUAAGCUCAUAAAAAGGAGGCUGCUUUCGGAUGGUUCUCCUUCCGAUUUCUUCAUUGACAAGGUUCAAAACCGUAUGAUUUAAUUUCGUAAUUUGCUGGCUUAUAUUUGAAGCAUGAUCCGAAAUUGAAGGUUGUUUUUUUUCUUAUUUUUGUAUGAUCUGAAGGUUUUAGGGGAGAAGAUAAAGAAGGAGCUGUCAAGAAUUCAGUCAGAGCUUUGCGCUUCAAAUCCAAAUCUUCGAUUUACGUAAGCCUUUUGAUGAGUCUUUCUUACAUAUACAUUGGUAUCGAAAAGCAAUCUUUUUGUAUCGAAAACAUACGAGUUUGAUUCUUGUGAUUUGCUCAGGAAUGAACAAAUUGAAGCUAUUUCGACCAGGCUUCCGGUGGACAAGGCUGAUCUGAAGAAGUUCUUUCCCAAGUGAGCAAAUCUUCUCUAACUAAAACCACCGCCCCCUUGUACUUUCUCUCUUAUUUUUCAUUGGAUUUUUGUUUCGUUUUCAGGUCGUGGUGCGAUCGGUAUGGAGAAGUUGUUCUGGACGUGGUGAGGAAAGAGUUCAAGGAGCAUGUUGGGGAGAUGGAGAGCUUGAGAAAUGCGGCAAGAGAGAAACACGGUAUCCACUCAGCGCGAUGGACUGCAUUCCAAGAUGACGAGGAGAAUUGUCACCCGAAUCUCUUUGCUCCGCCGCGAGACAACAACCACAAUUAUACUUCAAAGUUCCAUGAAACCAAUCCGUUCUGUGAUGAUCACAUUCACACCACCCCUAGGAAGCUGAGAUCGAAACCGGCAACUUAUACACAAGAGCAGAACCAGAACCAGAAUCCCUUUUGGAUCCCGGGCACGGCUACUAAUGCGUUUUCGUUGAGUAGCUGCUUAAUAUGUAUUUUGAUUGAGAGAUCGCUUGAUAUGUUGUAUGAACUUUGAGAGAAGAACGCUGUUCUUCCAAGCAUUCAAACUUUAUGUUUGAUUUGUAAAUGUAGGCAAUGUAUUAUCUCCUUCAAUGUUUCGGAACUCGAUUCGCUCCUUGAUUUUUAUUUUCUUAGUUCUUCUCACUCACUAUUUGAAAUCCUCUAAAGGGCCUUCAUGCAAAUAUCCAACACGCGUGUAAUACAAGAAACAAAUCAAUCGAAACAUACGACAUGAUCAUCAGGAGUUGGGGUUACUUGCGAUGCAGGUAAAGUGGUCGAAUUGGAUUGGAAAUCAAGUUAAAAAUCGCAAAUUCGGCAGCAAGAGGAAUUUUUUGCAGACACCUGAACCCCGAGUCGUCCUAACCAGAGACUAUACCUUGACAACAAAACUAGCAAGAUUUAUUCAAGACAUUCAAGUAAAGGCAAAGGAAUCUGCAAGCUUUUGAGCAAAAUGGAAGGUCCGUUACCAAUAAUUCCAGCAAGAAACCCACUAUGUGAAAAAGAUAAAAGAAAAAGCAGAUAACGCUUCACCCCAGUCGUGAAAAGCAAUCAUGCUUAUACACCUUGGGGCGGAUUAAAAGAACUUUACAACAUUACAAAGAACUUAAAGACAUUAUAGCUAUCCUUGGGUUUCAAUCCCUAAAGAACUUCAAGACGUUAUAGCUAUCCUUGGGUUUCAAUGCUCACUGGUCCCCUCGCUCUUAACAAUUAACAAUCUAACUUACUAACGCUAUCGUUUGUCUAAAAAUAAAAGCCAAAAAUACAUAACCAAAAAACACACUAUAAGAUCCCACAUCGCCCACACAGUGAUCCUUAAAUGUAUAUUCUCAUCCCUAUCUAGCACGAGACAUUUUGGGAGCUCACUAGAUUCGGGUUCCGUAGGAACUCCAAAGUUAAGCGAGAAGGAAGCUAGAGCACUCCCAGGAUGGGUGACUCACUGGGAAGUUGCUCGUGUGUUCCCAGAAGGCGUGGUCGGGACCCAAAGCGGACAAUAUCGUACUACGGUGGUGGAGCGGACCUAGGAAGUGGUCCGCCCCGGGCCGGGAUGUGACAAACACCAAGGUAAAAAGGGAAAAUACUGAAAGAAAAAAAAACGAAAAUCCCAGGGUUUGCUAUGUUUGAAGCCUCUUUGUUGAGAUGAAGAUGCCAAUUCAUGCACAUUGAUAUGUAAGUAUCUCGUUCUUUCAAUCACUAUAAAUCCGCAUCAAGGACGGCAGACGCUACAAUAUCGUGGAUUUCGGAAAAAUUCAGAUACAAGUCAGUCUUGGGGGACCAAAACAUGUCCUGGUAGAUGCGAAGAACCAUCUUUAACUAUAUACAUUACUGUGUAGUAUGUACAAUUAAAUCAAAGAGAAGAUAUCUCCGAGUUAGGGACAGAACAGUCGGUGAAACCCUCACGAACAUCUCCUCGGCAAAGCGGGCAAACUCUGUAAGCAGGAAUGAACAGAGAGAAUUUCGGUGAGAAAAAAUACAUGGGGAAAUGAAGGACAAUCAUGAAGGGGGGAAAAACAGAGGAUGGCAAUGACAAUACCCGUGUAUCUCUUUGAGCCACUUAUCAACGCAUGACAUGUGAUACUCGUGAUGGCAGGGAAGAACUCGAAUUUUGUCUCCUUCCUCAUACUCAGCGAGGCAUAUGUAACACCUAUCAAUUAUUAACUCACCAUGAUCAAACAAAUUCAUUAUGCUCCCUACUGAUGAAAUCAUUUAAGUAAAACUUACUGUUCAACAUCAUCCCCGGACUUUGGUUUGUCAACCUUUGUGUGACUUUUAAGAGGAAAACCAUCAACAAGAGAUGCUGGGGCAGGAGCUGAGACCAUCGACAGUGAAAGUGACACAGGUUGGCGGUGAAUCUCAUCCAAAACCUGCACAUCGCACAUUACAACAAAAUUAGGUUUGAUACAUUCAUAAGGUACACAGUAAUCUGUUGUGUAAUAUCUGCCCCUAAGCUUAACCGUCAAACAUAGAUAAAAACUGCGCAAACCAUAUCACAGCCGUUCAACCUAGAUUGGUAAACAUGCAGCCAAAGCCCUCAAAGAGACCUCAAGAAGAAGAAUAUACUAAAAUCAUCGCUGAUUUAAUUACGUUGCUUAAAUACCCUCCUAACUUAAGACAUAUGCAAGAGUGCAGAAAGAAAAUUACCUCAAAUAGAGCUUCGGCGAGCAUGACAAUUCUUGAUAUACUUGCCCGAGUACUAGACUCUUCAGCCAUCAAGAAUGAGCCACAUGAGCACAUGCCACGAGGGUGGAUUCCUGUGGGACAAGAGGUAUUACGCUGGCCAUUAUCAUCAAGGCCAACACGAAGUCUUUCCCAGACCUACAAAGAGUCAUGCAGAUGCAAAUCAAUGAAAAUUACUAGUGGGACCCCAAAAAAUAAAGCUGCUAUAGUUUACGGAUUUCUCCGGCCCGUAAAACAUCUGGAUAUAACACUUCAUAAAGUAUAAAAGAACCUUUGAUGAAUGAUAUAUUUGUAAACCAUGUAAAUGAACAUACACAUAUACAAAAUACAGUUAAGCCCCCAUACUCUCGCAAAUGAAAAAACUCAAUUUUAAGAUCCAAGUUAAGCCACGUGACUGAAACAUCAUAAUAUUUUUUAAUGUUAAAAUCUAUCACCUCAGAUCUAGAAUGUCGCCGUCGUUCACUCGAGUUGGGAAUUCUAUUAGCCCGGUGACCAGAAUCAACUCCAAUUUCAUCAUCAAAGAAAUCACCACUCAAACCAAGCAGCCAUCUGUCAUGAAAUCCCAUAUCCUCGGUAUCAUCAGUAGAGAAAAGAAUGGUUGGUGAAUCAAUAAACCUCCUGGAGCUGCGCCUUGAAAAUGCAUCCCAGAACAGUCGCCUGCCAUUCCUUCUAGCCUCACGAUUACUUGCAUCAGCAUUGCUACUCCUCAAAAAGUUGGAAGAAAUGCUCAUAACAUCAACAUGAAGUACACUUCCAUCUUCCUGGCCUUGUUCCCUAUUGGACACAAGGAAUCCUAAACCAGAAGGUAUUGCCUCCCGAAGGGAAUCAUUUCCAAGUGAGUCGAAAGUCGACGGAGUUUCAGAAACAUUAGCAGAAUCAGUAUCAGCAUUAAAACCCUGUACACCCCUUACGUCAGCCACAUGAUUCUCAACAGACACUUCCUGAGAACGGGAAUUCCGAAUCCCUUGUGGAGAUGAGCUACUUGGAAGCAUAACCUCGGGACAGGUCUCAGAUACAUUCUUGUCUGCUGAAAUGUCAAUGCCAUUGACUGAAUCCACAUUAGCAGAACCAUUCAAAGAGACUGUUUCUGAAGAUUGUUCUUGUCUAAACGAAGUACUAGCGGUAGUACUAUUAUCCCUACAAGAUUGAUCAUGACUAUAAUCGGCACUUACCUGAUGAGGUAUUAGUUCUUUACUUUUGGACAAGCACUUCCCCCGGUUAAUUGUGUCAACACUGCUUAAUCCUUCUUCAACAGUGCUCUCAGAUGAUGAUCCAAUUUCAAUAAUGGGGCAGGUGAACAGUGGUCCACUACUGGAGACCAACGAGGAUCCUUCUCCAGAGUUCCGGACUUGAUUGAUAUCAAGAUCAGAUUGCUCUGCAUAUUUUACACGACACUCAGGUGCGUGAUCUUCCAUCUGCAGGAAAAGUACUGAAGCAAAUCAGUCUCCUUAUGCAAUCUAUAUGACUAUAACUACCAAGUACAAAAUGAUUCACGAAAUUUGAAGGGUAUUGGUAGAAAAGGUCAAAAAACACUAUCAAGGCAUGAAGCAAAUCAGUCUCCAUAUGCAAGCUAUAUGACCAUAACUACCAGGUACAAAAUGAUUCACGAAAUUUGAAGGGUAUUGGUAGAAAAGGUCAAAAUACACUAUCAAGGCAUGAAGCAAAUCCGUCUCCUUAUGCAAUCUAUAUGACUAUAACUACCAGGUACAAAAUGAUUCACGAAAUUUGAAGGGUAUUGGUAGAAAAGGUCAAAAUACACUAUCAAGGCAUGAAGCAAAUCAGUCUCCUUAUGUAAUCUAUAUGACUAUAACUACCAAGUACAAAAUGAUUCACGAAAUUUGUAGGGUAUUGGUAGAAAAGGUCAAAAUACACUAUCAAGGCAUCAAUACAACUACGUAACACCACAGUUCUUUGGCCACCAAAAAAGGUAUUAAACUUACGUUUCUAUACUGUCCAUCAUAAGAGAUGUGCAUUUACUCCCAAAUGAACACAAGUAACACAAGAAUAAAUAACUUCAGUUAUACGCUAAAUAGACUAAUGCUAGGUAUCUCAACUUCAAACCAACACCAAGCAAAAUUUCUGCUUCAUGACUUCAUGGAAAUAAUAUAUUGAGGUUGUCAUCACAAGUGCAUCGCAAAGCACUAAAUAAAAACAACUGCAAUCAUUUGAUAUCUAAUUACAUGCCUCUACUUCUCCAGAAGAUUCCUAAUACGUUCGUCAUGAGGACUCCCAUGAACAAUAAUAGACUUGCACACAAUUAUAUACUUAUAUUCUAGCAAAAUAUCUUUACUCAUCCAAACUUUUCUAAAUCUUCCCUAUCUCCCGAGAAUGGGGGCAUAUAUACACAGAAACAUUUUUACCAACCACUUCACACUACUACAUCAGCAGCAUGAUUGAUUCCCAGCUCAAGAACAUAAGUUGCGCUAAAGACUACGUGAUCAUUUAUCCGCACCAUUAAGAACCUUGACCUUCAAGUUCUACGAUCGUAAUCAAACUUUCUCCAACCAUUUCCCUGAGCAUCCUACCAACCACUCAUCGGGGAUCAUCAUUAAAGUUCAUAUUCAAAAACACUAAAAAAUCAAACAACAUAGUUCAGACCCCGAAAACAAAGUUAAAUCCUUUUUCCUCAUUCACGAUUGUUAUACUGGACUUGAACAAAUGUAUACAUUAAAACAAACAUAACUCGAACUGUCAAUUCAAUGUCCCCAUUAAUUAAAUCCCCAAACUUUUUUCAACAACACGGUCGCAUAAUUAGCAGUUUUAAAAUAUGAAUACAAUAUUCACAAUUGCAGGGAAAUUAUAACGAAAAUUCAAAGUAACUGAGUCAUUAUGAUAUUACCGAGCACAGGGCCAAUCUUCUGCAUCAGCUGGACAAAUCCCAUAGAUUUUUAUUGGAUUGUAACUUGAAUUGAGGAAAAUCAAACCCCCAAGAAAAUUAAUUUAAUGAAAAAAGCUUAAAAUUCUUCUAAUUUGCACCAAAUGAUCAAAUCCCAAAUCAUCCAAAACCAGUAAAAAUCGAAUUUUGCAUCAAAAAAUGUAAAAAGUAUGAGAAAUCCAAAAAUGGGCAUUGACGAUUGAAUUGAAGGCAUCGAUUUUAGUGGAGGACGAUGAAGAAGAAGAAGAAAAGGGUACCUCGUGAGUAGCACGUGCAGAGGAGCCACCACAGACGAAAGAGGAGAGUAUGGAACGACUGGCGGUGCGAUUGACUCGGGGCCGAGAUGGGCGCGAGCCCAGUCGACUGCUGCUCGAACCCAUUUGAGAGAGAGAGAGAGGAAGGAGAGAGAGAGAGAGAGAGAGAGAGAGAGAGAGCGCUUCAGAGAUGGUGAUGAAUGAUGAUAAUUGAAGCAAACCGGCUGAGAGAGAGAGAGCUUUCCAUUUUUCCUUUUUUAUUUCAAAUUCAAUUUUCAUUGUGAACUAAUGGUUUCUACAGUGGACCAGGCUUGACCGACCCAUCAAAUAUAUGGGUCUGGAUCAUCAAGUUUCGGCCCAAUGUAUUCAGUAAAAAACAAAGCUAAGAGCAACUCCAUAUUUAAAAAAUGAGAUGACUCAAAGUCCAUUUAAUCCACCAAAAUGAAUAGUAAUUGACUUUAAUGAACAAUAAUUGUCCAAGUGCAUCAAUUCCUAAAAAAUGAGCUGGGUAAGAGUUUAGUCAAUUCGUAUUAAAAUAUUAUUAAUUUUUUUUAUAAAAAAUUAAAAAAUAAUUUUAUUUUUAAUUUCGGAUAGAAUUUUUAACCUCUUGUCACGUUACGUGUCAUUUUCCGAAAGUACAAUUUUUGUGAAAGAUGGUUAGGUAUAUAUAUAUAUGUAUAUAAUCUUUUAUUUUUUUCUGUAUUUUUAAACAAAUUUUUAUAAUUUUUUAUUAAGUUAAUUAAUCUGGAUCAUUGGAUUUCAAAAAAUAAAAAAAUCCAAUAGCCUAAAAAUGGACAUGUGACCCAUGGUAAGAUUCUGAUAUUUUUUUUAAUGCUGGAACGCACACCUACGCAAGCGUGUAUCCCACGGGCCAACAGCAAAAAAAAAAAUUCACAUGGCUGACGUCAGCUUGGCCUCAUGUAGGCCGGUCUAUUGCUCAGUCCAUUAUGUGUUGGGCUCAAAGGUGGCCUCCACUUUGGGCCAACCUAUUGGGUGGGGUGAAGUUGGUUUUUUUUUUUUUUGGGGGGGGGGGGGCAGCCUAAAAAUUAGACUUUGAGCUAGCACAUUUGUUAGGGAUGAAAUGCUCUAAUAGAAAAAAUGUUAGGCUUAUCAUAUUUUUAAUAUUUCAUGUGUAUAACAUUUUUAAUAAAUAUGGGAUCUACAGUGUUAUUUGCACACUAAUUUUUAUCUCUCACAUAUUCUUGUUAAUUUUUAUUGACUCAUCUUCUUCAAUUCAUAUUGUCGACCGAAAAUUAAGAGGAGUGCGUGAGAAGAAAAAUGAGUGUGUAGAUAACGCUAUUGUAUAAAAAAUUUGAUAAAUAUAGUAUUUACUCUUAUGAUAGAGAUAGGGUUACGUGUUUGGUAUAUAUACGAGUACAAUGAAGCCAUGACAUUUGUAGUGGUGAUUGGUUACAUUGGUAUACUUGAGAUGUGAGGCAAAUUUAUUACCAUCACAAAGAUAAUUAUGAAACUUAUGGGCCUUCUAUUUUACUAAAAAUUGACCUCCAUCGUCCAUAUAUGAAACUUAAACUUGGAGAAAGAUCGUAUACGUUUUAUGAAAGGUUUUUUUAUCUGACAUGGAAUGAGAUAUGGUUUUCUUAACUAAGAUGUGAAAGACAAAAUUAUUCCCAUCACAAAGAUAAUUAUGGAACAUGGGCCUUAUAUUCUACUAAAAUUUGACAUAUUAACUACAUUUUACUAGAAAGAUGUACAUAAAGUUAUACCCAUUUUGGGAAAGUUAUCUAAUUUGACAGAGAAAAUCGAUAAUUUCAAAUGUGUCAAGACGUGUGAUUAUCUCUGUUUAAUUAUAAAUUGGAGGUAGAGAAAAAUGGCAGCACUUUAAUUGUAGUGUGUUUGAAUAGUUGAUCAAGGUAUCGGCAGAGAAAUAUCGAGUUGAAUUGUAGGUAUUCAACUACCAGCAAGACAACCAUGGAUCCAUGGGUGUGACUAGCAGUUGGUGCAUAUGAUGGACACGUUUUACCACUAACAGACGAAACACCAUGUCUGUAUCUACAUAGCUUUCUAUCCUUUCUCCACGUACUUCUGCACCCCAUUAACAAAAAGGCAAAUUAAAAUAUAUUAUACAAAAGUAGACCUAACUUUAAUGCUUUAUCCACUCCUAUAAAAUCUACAUAAUCGUCGAGUUCCAACACACUUCAGAACAAUAUAUCCACUUAUAGUUGCAGGGAACUAAGAAAAAAAAGAAGAUCGACUGAGAAACAUGCCUGACCAUCCACCACCACCACCGGGCCAUGAUCACGGACCCCCUCAUCCUGAGCCUCCUCCGCCGCACGCCCAUGCUCCUCCUCCUCCUCAGCCGGGCGGUGGACCUCACGCACCUCCCCCUGGCCCUCCUGAACCACACAAGCCACAUCAUGAUCCCCAUCAUGGUCCCCAUCAUGGUCCUGGUCAUCACCACCCAUGAAUCAUCAUUCAUCGUAUGAUGAAUAUAUACAUGCUUGCAUGCAUGUAUGUAGAUGUAUGGUGUACGUUGUGAUGUAAUUUCUAGUUUUAACUAAGUCGGUGAGUCCUCUCAUGAUCAUGCAGUUUUAAUGAAUGAUGACUUCGUGUACCCAAAAAGUAUGCAUGAUUAUGUAAAUUAAUAAGAUCGGUUUGUGGUUUUAAUUUCCUCUUAAUUAAUUAGUUAAUUUGGUACGCACUGAGCUGCUGAUCAAAGUGUGGUUUAAGAUGCAAAAUUUCCAUUCCUUUCAUGUUUUAAUUAAGAUGCAAAUCUAAUUACAAACAAAUACGCUGCAACUAACUAAAAACCCUACGUGCAGCAGGCCAUGGAUAAUUUUUGGUCUUUAAUUCGAUCUUUUACUUUAGAUAAAUGUCUAAUUUAAUUGCUGCAAAAGCUAGCUUCUGAAGUAUGAUCAGUGUUAAGAAACAAAUAAAAUUAAGAUAUAUAUCAUCAUUAUAAUUAAAUUUUCUGAUGUAGGAGAACAAAUGAAAUAUGCGUAUAUUGUCGGUGCGUAAUCCGCACUAAUAAUACAACGUUAAAUAAAAAUAUGUAUGUAUUAUUGUAUUAUACAAAUGUAAUGCCACAGUAAGGUUAUUUCCAACCGAAUGAGGGCCAAAAUGCUAUCUUUAGCUCUAUAGUCUUGCAAGAAAUUAUAUUUUAAUGAAUAGUGCUAUGCUAUAUUUUAUACAUCUCAAACUGAGAGGAUCAAAAGACAAUAGGCCAAACAUAGCCCUUUGAAAAAAACUAUCUCCAACUGAGGGAACCAAAAGAUCAUAGGCCAAACAUAAUUUAUUAUUUUAAUUAAAUUAAACUACUAUAUUUAAAAAAGGUUUUCAGACAUAUUUUGAGUCACUUGUCGUCAAAUGAAUAAGCCUCCGGAUUUCUUAUCUAUAUAUAAUCUCAAUAAUUUUUUUGGAUAGAAUUUCGAGUAACACGUGUAGCUAACAUGAGGAACUCUUCAAAUUUUUUAUCUUUAUGUAAUCGCAAUAAUUUUUCGGAUAGGAUUUCGAAUGACAUUUGUCGCUAAAGUGAGUAACUAUCCAUAUUUCUUAUCUUUAUGUAAUCUUAAUAAUUUUUCGGAUAUGAUUUCGAGUGCCACGUGUCGAGUGUUGUGCUAGGAUAGCACCAAACCUUAUGGAACCAACUCAAGCUAACCCACAUGAAAUAUAUCAAAUGGAAUGCAAGAACAAAAUAUAAAAGAACACCAAGAUUUUAACGAGGUUCCUCAACAGUCAGUGUAGCUGGAGUACGUCCUCGGAGCAGUAUGAGCUCACCCAAUAAUCCACUAUCAACCAAAUGGGAGUUUACAAAGUGUUGGCAAUCUCACAACCCAAAUAACCUAAUACACCCAAUAGCUCACACACACCAAAAAAACAAAUAGAGGAAGAAAUAUAAUGAAUAAUUUCUUCUCUAUACAUAUAGCUCAAAGCUAUUACAACAACUACUUUGAUAGAUGAUUACUAACCAAAGAGACGAGCACUUUAUUUUCUCUGAGGAGCUACGGCACCUUUUAUCUGUUGCUCUGCUGCUCUCUGCUCUCUGCUCUCUGCUCUCUUCUCUCUUCUCUCUGCACUCAGAAUGGGUUUUUCACUCUCUUCAAAACCGAACUAUUUUUCCACACAAGAACCAACAACUUUCUUAUCACCAAAGAAUAAUGCUCCAUCCGAGGCUAGCCUUUUAAAAUUCCACAAAUCAAUAAGAAACAUAAUUAUAAUGUCUCCCCAUUUUUUAUUUUUUUAUUAGCCAAAAGAUAUAUAAUAAUUUGGCCCUUUUUUCUUUUGUUUUGUUUAAUAGCUAAAAGGUGAUGUUGAGUUGCCACUUGGCCACAAUUCAACAUCGAGAUGUAAUUGGUUGUGCAAAUUUUAGAUAGGAUUCGUAUCUACAUGACACUUCUUAUCUUCAGCUUUUAAUGUUGUAGAAAUGAUGUAGGUAUUUAUAGGAAAAAAUUAGAUUUUUUUUUAAAUUCGUCAAAAAAAAAAAAAAUCAAAUUCCAACGGUAACCUGACGACAACAUGAUGUUAGCUAGCCGUUGCUAACUGGCGUCAUGCUGCCGCCAAGUAGCCGAACUAGAGAGCUGGCAAAAUGUCAAAUUUGACAUUCUAGCAUUGGAGGACUGGCAAAAUGUCAAGCUUGACAUUCUGACGCUGGAGGGUUGGGCUAGAGGGCUGGCUGGCUAACUAGAAAUGGCCAGCUCGCUGGCUUGAUUUGGGGGUUUGGGUGGGGCCUACAAGCCAUUUGACCUAACCCUCGGUUGGAGACGAUUUUCGUGUCAUUCUUAGCUAUUUUUAGCUCUAUGAUCCUUUAACCGGGUCGGUUGGUGGAGAUGACCUAACUACAAACUCGUAACAUAAAAUCCGUUUCUCGACUUGUAGAUGUGGGCUUAUGAAUCUUGUGGUUGCCCUAAUUCAGAGGAAUGACUACACACAAUGAAAUAAGACGGGAACAAAAAUCUUCUCUGCGUGAUACACAUGAUUAACUUGCAACAUAACACCGACCAGAAAAUAAAAAAGAAUCGAUCCCCACCACUUUUAUCAUUGUUCUUUUAGAUGGAUAACAUUUCAUAUAAAAUAUGAAAGAUCUUUUAUUUUUUAUGUGGCGCCUGUCGCGACGAAGAAAUGUGGCUACCAGCAAGCACGUGAAGAUAAUGUACGUGGACGUUGAUCUUUUACUUUUUGUACCGACACCAUUGCACUAUAAAAUCCCACUACUUUCUUCAACAGUUUCGCCAGAUCAAUAAAAAAACAAGAGAGUAGCUAGCUAGAUCGAAGAAUUACAAGUCUCUGUGUAACUGCUGCAAAUUAAGAAGAUUGUCGAAAAUGCACCAACCUCCAGGCCCUCCGCCACCGCAUGACCACGGACCACCGCACCACGGGCCACCUCACGAUGGUCCGCCACCACCUGGCGGCCCUCCAGGUCCCGGCCCUCACGGCCAUGGACCUCCAGGCGGUCCAGGUCCCCAUGGACCUCCAGGCGGUCCGGGAGGACCAGGGCAUCACGGCCACGGGUGUGGAGGUGGACCGGGUGGUCGCUGCUAAGUGCUAACUAAUGAUCUUGACCAAGAACUUUCUGGUGUACUACUUGUGGUUUAAUAUGUGCUAAUCAUGUUUUCUAGUUUAUUAGUUUACUAAUCAUGUUCAAGAUCACCACCAGACUAGCUCAGCUCAGCUGGAGAGGAUCAUGUAUCUGUCCGUAAUGGUACUAUGUUGAAUAUGCUGCGUAUUAUGAUAUCAAUAAAAUGCAUCUCCAUAUUAUAAUUAUACAUCUUUGAUCAUUCUUAAUUAAUUGAUUGGAUUAUAUUGAUAGGUAAAAAUUACUAGAAACAAUUUUGACGCGCUAAGAAUAUCCGCUCGUAUUUGAGGAGAGAAAUUUACACGCAAUCAAUAAUAAGAAGAUGGUUUUUUAAUCCUAAGAUGCGUCAUUAUAUAUUUUAACUUACUCACGUAACAUUGCGUAAAUGGUUUGAUAUAACGUCAAUUUCGCAGCUUAGUGGCAUGACAUGUAAGUUCUUUUCAUAUUACUCAAAGUUCAACUCCAAUUUCGGUUUCGAACCGCUUCUAUAGAAAGCUUUUUUUUUUUUUAAAUUUUAUUUGAACAAACCUUAUUAUCUAUAAUAAAGGGUAGGAGAAUGAGUUAAGUCUCACAAUCGACUAGCAAUAAUGUGGUUCAAAUUCGCAUUUGAUGAGAAUCGAACCUAAGAUCUCUAUUUACAAGUAAAGAAUAACACCACUAAACUGUAAUAUUAAGUGAUUGCUUCUAUUGAAAGCAUUAACCUUUAACAAACACUUAUACGAUCCAUAAACACUUUUAAGUUUUUAUGACCAACCAAAUUGGUUUCGCAUAAAUAGCCAUUCGGGCGCCCUAAUUUUAAUAUUUUUUAAUUAACAAGAAAAAAAAAAGUUAUGUACAUUCAUAGCUAUU